This 249-nucleotide ribosomal RNA is filed under the name uncultured bacterium. RNAcentral describes it as "partial 16S ribosomal RNA". It matches the Rfam family "Bacterial small subunit ribosomal RNA", at positions 524 to 776 of the family's 1533-position model. The record is from RNAcentral.
UACAGAGGUGCGAGCGUUGUUCGGAAUUACUGGGCGUAAAGGGCGCGUAGGCGGCCUUCUAAGUCAGACGUGAAAUCCCCGGCUUAACCUGGGGACUGCGUCUGAUACUGGUCAGCUCGAGUCCGGAAGAGGAGUGUGGAAUUCCUGGUGUAGCGGUGAAUGCGCAGAUAUCAGGAGGAACACCAAUGGCGAAGGCAGCACUCUGGACGGUACUGACGCUGAGACGCGAAAGCGUGGGGAGCAAACAGG